Molecule: long non-coding RNA, 956 nt
Organism: Cyprinus carpio (common carp)
Lineage: Eukaryota; Metazoa; Chordata; Actinopteri; Cypriniformes; Cyprinidae
Source: Ensembl
AUCUGCAGAGAUAUUAAUCAGAAUACCAAACAAAAGAAGGGUCUGUUUCAUAGGUAAGUAAGAUCAUGCUUUAAAACGCUUCAGAAAUCCAUUACUGUUAUCUCUGUAAAACAAAACUGAGCUGUCUCUGCUUGAUUGAGAAUUUGCCAUUUUAAAACCUUUGCCUUGCCUAGAUCAGAUCAUCGGAUGCCUCCAAACCAAGAACCUAAUCCAGGGGGUUGGGAUUCUGAUGAAUUUGACCAAGAAGGAAGUGACAACGACUAUGAGGAGCCAGAUAAUAAUGAGUGUGAAGACAAUUACAUAUGUGCAGCAUCAUGUGAUAAUGAGGAAGACGUGAAUACUGAUGAUGACUAUGAACCACCUCCUACUGAAACACCUUCUGAAUUACCGUCUCACUUUCGUGUUGCCAAGCCUCUUGGUGAUGGUGAUUAUUUAGACAGCGGCCCACGUGGUUCUGCAAGACCACCCCAGGACAACAGGUCAGGAUCUCUUCCCAGAGGGCUUUUGAAUACCCCUAAGCCUCCAUCACGACCGGAUCCCUCUCCACACAGGCCUUUCAUUCCCUCCAAUCAAUCCAAACCUAGUGUGCCAAAGGUAGAUCGGAGUAAGAAACCUGGCUCAUCUGCACUGCCAAAACAAAAUAUCAGCAAAUCAGAAAUAAAACAAAACACCUUACCAAUGGCUUCAAAAUCAGCAACUUUACCCACACAAAGACAUCACAUUCAACAGAGGGAUGAGUUUCCUCCUCCACCUGUAGAAGUGAAUGUGAUGAUGGGGCAGGACAUGGAUCGACGGUGGUAUGUGGGGCAAAUGUCACGAGCACAGGCCGAAGUCUCACUAAGACAAAUGAAUGCAGUGAGUUCCACCACUAAAGCCAUAGAAUGUUUUAGAAUGAUCUAAAAUACACCCCUGCCUUCAAAUAAUUCUUAUAAAUUGUGAAUAAAAUAAGCUUUUAU